Long non-coding RNA from Amphibalanus amphitrite, 1532 nucleotides. RefSeq lists it as uncharacterized. The record is from RefSeq and is a predicted model, not a curated record. NCBI's taxonomy places the organism in Eukaryota, Metazoa, Arthropoda, Thecostraca, Balanomorpha, Balanidae. The transcript has 2 exons.
AGCCGCCCGAUCCAGCACCAGCGGCCCGGGUAUCCGCGGCAGCAUAUGGUCGGGCGGCAGCUUCAGGUGCCGGCCGUGCAGAGGCGCCACAUGACAGCUCCCGGGGGUCGACGCCCUAUACCGGUGGCGCACCAAGCUGGCGGCAGCGUGACAGGCGGCGGGCACGGCGCACCACCCGCGCACAUGAGCCGCCGCCGUCGCCGCCGCCACCGCCACCUGGUGGAUGCCGGAUUUGAAGGUCGACGCCCUCUACCGGUGGCGCACCAAGCUGGCGGCAGCGUGACAGGCGGCGGGCACGGCGCACCACCCGCGCCCAUGAACCGCCGCCGCCGCCGCCGCCACCGCCACCUGGUGGCGCGACCCCGGGACGCCUGGCGGGAGCCGUCCAACUCUGAGGCGGGCUUGGCAGAAGGAGACGGUCGCAACGACACCUAGCGGCGCGCGAGCACGCAUCCUACAAGCGGGGGCACCGACUGCCGCCCAAGAAGCCCCGGAUUGCGGCGGUGGCGCUGAGAUAGAGUGCGGUCGCCCAGGGAGGCGGCCGUCCACCAAGGUGUCCACCGUCCGCGAACACCGGCUAUGGGCGGUAGCGUGCGCUACCGGCUGAGCAUCGCGCGCGUGUGCUACCAAUCCAGGCGACCUCCAACCAAGGACCAGUUCAUGGCGGAGGGUCGAGGGCCAGAAGAGCGAGGCGAUACGAGCGAGCGUGGGAAGGAAGAGCUGGCAACGGAUCGGCGCUGCGAAAAAUGCGAGCAGCAGGAGAAGGGCUUGGCAGGAGGGUGGCAGGCGGAAUGAACAAUGGGGCGAUGAGCGGGAGCGUGGGCAGGGCGACUGUGCAUGUAAGGCGUGGGGCGGGUGUCUGUAGAAUGUAUGUAAGAUGUCUGUAGAAUGUAUGUAGGAUGUCUGUAGAAUGUAUGUCGCAUGUGUUGUGUAGGUAUAAUGAUUGUCAAGCGCGAAUGAGAUAGUGGAAAGGUUCUCACCCGGGGGAGUAAGGGGACCCUUUUUCACCGUCCGUGGGAGGGAGAAUUAUUAUGUAAGGGCAAAAUUGAGCGCGUCAGAGAGUGUGUGGAGCGGCGGGCCGGAGAACCAGAGUCCGCGUUAGGCCAGUCCGCCGUAUGUUUGCCUCCGGCGGGAAAGGCGUGCCCGCCGGGUGAAAGGCAGCGGCUGGCCGGCACCUGGGACUCGCGGGCCCGUCUCUCGUGGCAUUUGCCAGUGCGGUUUCGUCGGGGCAACAUCUUUCGGUAAGCGAUCUUUUCCAUCCCCCCUAAAUUAACGCCGCAGCGCCCAGGCGCUGCGGAAGUCCCCGACAUAUGUCCUGGAUUUUAUUUGGCUUUCCGACCCGCCGCAAAUAGCGGUGGGCUCUCCCGUUCAUAUCCAGGGCCGUCCCGUCUAAAUUAUAUUCAUCGGCGCGGCGCGUAGGGUAAAUGAGUGAGCGGUUGAAAGUGUGAUGUGUGCUGUGUGCGUGAGCGAUGGAAGUUGAGGAGUGAUCAUUUUAUCCCGCAAAUCUAAAAUACAUAGAGUUCGGAAUGUGA